UGAUCUCCAGGCCUCAUUCCAGUA
This 24-nucleotide unclassified non-coding RNA is filed under the name Mus musculus (house mouse). RNAcentral describes it as "oocyte_clustered_small_RNA1572". Lineage: Eukaryota; Metazoa; Chordata; Mammalia; Rodentia; Muridae. The record is from RNAcentral.